This 587-nucleotide ribosomal RNA is filed under the name Pseudomonas sp. StFLB235. Its description in RNAcentral is "bacterial SSU rRNA". It matches the Rfam family "Bacterial small subunit ribosomal RNA", at positions 102 to 683 of the family's 1533-position model. The record is from RNAcentral. Lineage: Bacteria; Pseudomonadati; Pseudomonadota; Gammaproteobacteria; Pseudomonadales; Pseudomonadaceae.
ACGGGUGAGUAAUGCCUAGGAAUCUGCCUGGUAGUGGGGGACAACGUUUCGAAAGGAACGCUAAUACCGCAUACGUCCUACGGGAGAAAGCAGGGGACCUUCGGGCCUUGCGCUAUCAGAUGAGCCUAGGUCGGAUUAGCUAGUUGGUGAGGUAAUGGCUCACCAAGGCGACGAUCCGUAACUGGUCUGAGAGGAUGAUCAGUCACACUGGAACUGAGACACGGUCCAGACUCCUACGGGAGGCAGCAGUGGGGAAUAUUGGACAAUGGGCGAAAGCCUGAUCCAGCCAUGCCGCGUGUGUGAAGAAGGUCUUCGGAUUGUAAAGCACUUUAAGUUGGGAGGAAGGGUUGUAGAUUAAUACUCUGCAAUUUUGACGUUACCGACAGAAUAAGCACCGGCUAACUCUGUGCCAGCAGCCGCGGUAAUACAGAGGGUGCAAGCGUUAAUCGGAAUUACUGGGCGUAAAGCGCGCGUAGGUGGUUUGUUAAGUUGGAUGUGAAAUCCCCGGGCUCAACCUGGGAACUGCAUCCAAAACUGGCAAGCUAGAGUAUGGUAGAGGGUGGGUGGGAAUUUCCUGUGUAGCGGUG